Rattus norvegicus (Norway rat) is the source of this 18154-nucleotide non-coding RNA. The record is from RefSeq and is a predicted model, not a curated record. Lineage: Eukaryota; Metazoa; Chordata; Mammalia; Rodentia; Muridae.
CGCGUCGCCGUCGUAGCGCACGAACUCCGUGUCGUCCACGUAGGCGACAGCUAUGAACCGGGGCUCCCCGAGGCCCGGCCGGGACACGGCGGUUUUGAAACACCGCAUCGAAUGUGAGCCUGGGGGCGGCGCGCGGUAUCGCAGCACCCGACGGGAAUGAGAAUUGCCAGUGCGUCAUUCGUGUCCGGGCAGAAGGACCUGACACAGAAGUCAGACCCUGGAGUCUUCUAGAAAAAAAGCCACUUCCGGGAAUACAAUGAAAACACAAGCAGUUAAAGAUGCAGUGAGAAAUGCUUCUCCUUUAAGAGGAGGUGCUGGCCUGCAAGCCCCACCCGGACCCCACAGAGGCCAGGCUCCCUUCACCUGCAUGGGCGGCUCAAACUGCCAAGCCUGAGUGCAGGACUCUCAUCUGUAAAGAGGAGACUUUGCCUCUUCCCUCAGGAUCUGUCUACUGAACCUCGGGUUUAGACCCAGAUUCCUUGUGUUUAUUCCCAGAAGAUGCAUCUGUGGCUCCAGGUGGGUGCGUUUUACAAGGAUCUUCAUUCCGAGUCCUGAGAUUGUCCAUGUGGACCCGGGUGGUUGUCUCAGCACAGGAGACCCCGUUGUCCACAGGGAAGAGACCCCUGUGGAGACCACAGACAGCAAAGCGCCCUGUGCUACACUGCACUUACCCUAUGUCCACACUUCUCCUGUGCAGCUGCUUUAGUGACUAAAUCACGGUAGGAGGGGAACUGUAAUUAACUAUACCACAGAAUAAUGAGAGAGUGUGGGAGAAGUUAUCAAUCUGUGACCUCUCACUCCCUCUCUGACCUUCACUCACACUUAUGAGCUGAGAAGGUGAGGGACAUGAAUGUGUGGGACAGUGGAUCUGAUAACCGAGCUGGCCCCAGAGUUCCUCAGGCCUGAGCAGUGUGGACAUUGGAGGAAAGAUGAUUCUCAGGCCAGAGAGCACACGCUGGUGAUGUGAGGUUUCAUCCCUGGUCAGAGUAUGGGGAAAGAUUAAAUUUUCAGGUUUCUUGACUCCGUGGAGCUCUACAAAUCGCAGUCACAUAACUGAAGUGGGAGAAGAGGAGAGAUGGGUGGGGGCUCCUGAAGAGAGUCACCCAUCACACAGAGCAACAAAUGUGGGUGAGCACAGUUGUGAACUCCAGUCACCUCCCCAUGCAGGUCUCCACAGCAGCCCAGCAGCCUCACCAGGAUUCAGCGGCUCCUGUUUCAGUGAACCACUCUUAUUAGGUGCUGUGAGUGUUUUCCGUGGGAACUUGAAGCUCUUAGGUUCCAUCCUGACUGACCUAAGGAUGCAGUUGGGGUAGGCAGCCCCACAGAAAGGAUCCGUCUCUGUUACUUUUCUUCUCAUUUAUUCUGUUUUUUGAUACAAGGUCUGUCUGCACUGCUCUGGUUCUCCUGUAAUUUACUAUGUAGACCAAGCUGGUCUUGACCCCACAGAGAUACAUGGCCUUUGCAUCCUGUGGGCUGGGUGUCUUAGUUUCCCUUUCAUUGUUGUGAAGAAACACCCUGACCAAGGAAACACUUGUAAAAAGAAACAUUCAAUAGUGGCUGGGUAACAGUUUCAGGGGUUUAGUCCAUUAUAGCGGAAGCAUGGCAGCUGCAGGCAGACAUGGUGCUGAAGGAGCUGAGACUUCUACAUCUUGAUCCAAAGGCAGCCAGGAAGAGGCUCUCAUUCCACACUGGGCAGAGCAUGAGCACAGAGACCUCAAAGUCCUUCCUCUCAGUGACACACUUCCUCCAGCAAGGCCACGCCUUCUCCCACAAGGCCACACCUCCUAAUAGUACCACUCUUGUGGGCCAAGCAUCCAAACAUAUGAGUCUAUGGGGGCCACAUAUUCAAUCAACCACAAUAGGAUUGAAGGCCUGUGUUAGCACACUAGCUCUAGUUAGUUUUUAUUACUGUGAUAAGACACUAUGACCAAGGUAUCUUAUAAAAGAAUAUGUUUAAUCUGUUAUAUAGUUUCAGAGGAUUUGAGUCCAUGAUGGCAGAGGAGAGGUGUGGUGUGGGAACAGCUGAGAGCUCCCGACUUGAUUUGCAAGUAACAGACUGAGACACUGGCAAUAGUGAAAGUCGAUUUUUAAAAAAUUUUGAUAUAUCUAAUAUAUGUAAUAUAAAAUAUUAUUGUAUAUAAUAUAUAUAAUUUAUUCAUAAAGUACCUAUCUUCAGACACCAUAAGAGGGCAUCAGAUCUCAUUACAGAUGGUUGUGAGGCACUGUGUGGUUUCUGGGAUUUGAACUCAGGAGCAGUCAUUGCUAUUAACCACUGAGCCAUCUCUCCAGCCCAGUGAAAGUCUUUUAAAACCUCAGUGCCCAACCCAGUGGCAGACAUCCUCCAUCAAGGCCACACCUCCCAAUCCUCUCUGAACAUGGCCUCAGCUGGAUUUGAAGGAUUCAUUCCCAUGAGCCUGUGUGGCUGUUCUCAUUCAAACCAGCACAGCAGUCACUGUGAAGUGUAAGAGGCCAGCAGGGUUCUGGAGAUGUGUCCAGUGCAGGCUGAGGGAAAUGCCCUCACACAGGGCACUCUGCUGGGUUAGGUCUCUCCUUUGUCUCUGUCUCCUCCUGCUCAGCCCCUCUAUGUCUCUGUCCCUCAGGUCUCACCCCAUCCGUGCCCAGCUCCCCUCCCUCCUGAGCUCUGCACUGACCCUGUCUCUUCCUUGGCCUCUGGUUUCUCUAUGGCGUCAGCCAGCAGCUGUGAGGCAGCUGUGUGGUUCCUGAGGCAAACAUUCCAAUGGUGGCUGGGGAGAGGGCUCAGCAGCCAGGAGCACUUGUUGCUGGUGCAGAGGAUCCAGGCUGAGUUCCCUCAGCACACGGUGGCUUCCACCGUCUGUGACUUCAGUUCCAAGGGAUCAAUGGCUGUGCACCUACAUGUUUAUAUGCACAAAGAGGACAGGUCAUGAAAAUAAAAUAUAAAAGUAUGAUUUUAAUUAUCCUGCCUGUCUUUCUUCUACACAUCGAGAGUGUGAGGCCAGGGGCGGAGGGCACAGUGCUGUUCAGACAACAGUGGACCACCAGCCAUUGAGAUGGUUGAAAUAGUGUAUUGAAAUGACAAUUUACAGAACAGCAUAAAAUUAAAUAUACAAAAGAUCUUUCACUGUACGGACCUGCUGUGCACAGUGGAUCACGGCCUCAUUCCAGGGAGAAGACACACUGUGUGCUGAUCUUUGUAAUUGAGCAGAUGUCAGUUUUGAUUCCCCAUGAACAGGAUAAAUUCCACUCAGAUGGUUGGAUAUUAAUUUAUAACAGACCAGAACAUCCAAACACCCAGAAUGUUCCUCAGAGAAAGGUGUCCCUUUCCCCAUCUUCCCUCCCACUGCUGACCCUCCAGGUCUCACCUGUUAAAGAUGGUAGAGAAGCGUCCCGUUCUUGUCCAAUAGCACCUCCUGGUGGAAGAAACAGAGAGGACGGAGUCUGAGCCCACGGAGCUGAGGGUAAAGGGGACCCAGGCUGGCUGUGCUGCCCCAGGGCUUCCUUGCUGUCUGUGCUUCUCCAGGGCUCUCAGGUCUCAUGCUGCCCUGCUCUCAUCACACUUACAUCCAGAAGAACUUUACAUGCUUUUCCAGCCCUGGGAAGAAAACGCCCUGUAAGAGGGGAGGCAGGAGGCAGAGCCCUGAGUGCUCAGAGGAGCUGCAAAGCCCCAGAGUAGGUGCAGACUCUGACCUGGACUAUGAUGUUGAUUGUUUGAUGUCAGCUACAUGGGGGGUUAACUAAAACCCCAAAAUGGAGGUCAACAGCUGUGAGGCGGUUUUACUUAAGGUGAAGUGGGAAGAUCAGUUUCUGAUCCUUUCCUUUGAUGGAGGAAGAGACACCUGCAAUCCUGAUUAUUUGAGUGGAGUCCCUCCCCGUUUCUAAUCUGGCCACACCUUCUGCUGGAGGCCUCAGUGAAGACAUGGAAGGAAUCGCUUGCUCUUUGUCUGCUUGCUCUUGCUCCUGCUCCAGCUCCUGCUGCUUCUGUGGGGCAUUCCUGCCUGCCCGUCCUUGCUCUGCAUAAUGACAGCAGACUUACAUUUAUUUAUGGAUGCCUAGGCUUCAUGCUGGGCCUGUCCAGGCUUCUCCUAACUCAGUUAUCCCAUUUACACCAUCCUAAGUUCUGCCAUGUGGCUGCUCACCUCUCCUCAGAUUCACACAUCCCGACCCCUCUGAGUCUGGGUGGUGACUCCCCCAUGCUUCUCUCUUCCCAGAGUUCCUCCCUCUGACCACAAUCCUGCCCUCAGCUCCCCUUGGCUAUAGGACAUAGGCUUUGUAUCUCAUCCUUCAGAAGGUGCUUUAGGUAGGCAGGGUAGGACGGAGAGGCUUCCUCACACAGAGCACAACAACAUUACCUCAGCAUUGCCCCCGUUAGUCCUAUAAAAGGCAAAUCGUUCUCUGACAUCAUCAACUAUACACAGUGAGAACAAGGAUAAAAACAUAAUCAUAAAGAGUUAAUAAUUCUUAAUUCUCAUUAAGAAUUACUAUUUAAUUGAUUAAGAAGUAUUUGAGGUUGGAUCAUCUGGACGAUUUGUCUGGUCUCCUUUGGUGUCUGGUCCUUUCCCUGUAAACACACUAACGUUUAUAGGUAACAUCCAUUUCUGCAUUAACACAUGCAUGGACUGUAAAGUGUACACAGUUCAGUUCAAGAUGAUUCUGUUCUAUGUGCGAGAAGGAAAUUCAUCAGACUCUAUAUGUCUGUCUGUGCUAUAUCCCCAAGCUGCAGUGUAAGUAUCCAGCCAUGCCAUGGGAAAGGGUGACUUGAGAAGCCAUGCAGGCUUUGUGGCCACCGAGAUUCACUGGCUAUGCAUAGUGACACCCUGUCUGCAGACAUUCAUGUCUCAGCCAGUUUCAGAGCUGUUUCCAUGUAGAGGGACGAGAAUUCAUGUUUUGUUUUGUUUAUUUUGAUGUUGUAUUUGUUUUCUUCCUUCAUUUUUGCAAAUAAGAUUUUCAGGGGGUCUCCCCUGGUCAAAUGUAAUAUUUAUUAAUUUUGAGGGAAGUUAUAGCUUUUCUUCUCCUGUUGAAAGAAAGACAAAACAUCUCCCUGAACUCAACACACGUCCCUCCUUCCAUUCUGAGGGUCUCACAUAUAUCUGCUGACCUGACCCAGCAGUCCUUCCUCAACUCCAUGUUUUUCAGGGCUGUGUUUCCUGUCUCUAGUCCUACAACCAGACUUCAGACAAAGUAGAUUCCAGGAGGCGAGGUCGAGUGUGUAGUCCAUGAGGAGGAGCCUCUACUUCUGUGCACACAUGUGAGGAACUUGACAGGUUUGCUAAUUCACUAAGCAGAAGUCUGGGGAACGUGUGGGAGUGGAUUUUGAGGGUGUGGGAUAAUGACGGAAGGAACAUAAAAUUGAGUCUGGGUGAGGUUUUCAGUAUGGGAACACUGACUGGACAUUGGACUUUAAUCUGUGAUUUUUAACCUUUUAAAAAGGUGAAAAAGGGGGUGUUUGGGGAUUUAGCUCAGUGGUAGAGCGCUUGCCUAGCAAGCGCAAGACCCUGGGUUCGGUCCCCAGCUCCGAAAAAAAAAAAAAGGUGAAAAAGGUUUGUUUGAAGGGUUGGCUGAACUGUUUAUCAAAAGAAGGUCUACUGAAAAGGGGUUGAAGAUUCAUUGACAGCCCUACCUUACACCUGACCUGGGAGAUAGUAGAGCCAGGAGGAGCUGACUGAGCAGAGAGGCUAGAACGGUUGUCACAGUCUGGAGCUGCUGUAAUUGGGACAUCUGGGAGAAGGGACUGUUUAAGUGCAGUGUCCGGAAUUGAGGGAGGAGUUGGGAGAAACGUUAGACGGGGCUGGGCUGGAUGAUGGAAGGAAUUGUUGGAAAGAAAUUAGAUUGACAGGUCUCUCUCUCUCAAUAUGUGUGUGUGUGUGUGUGUGUGUGUGUGUGUGUGUGUGUAUCCCUCUUUCUCUCUCUCUCUCCUGCUUCUUUCCUCUCUAGUCAUAGGGGAUAAAACCAGGAGGACAAAGGGUGGGGACAAAAGAACCAACAAAGUAAGGAAGACCAGCUACAUGGCUCUCUGUGUAUCCCUGGCUGCCCUGGGACUCACUCUGUACCCAAGGCUGGUCUCGAACUCACAGAUCUGCCUGCCUCUGGGUAUGUACAACCAAGGCUCAGGAAAUAUUCUUAAUCAAAUCACCACAGAAGCCUACUGAAUUUGUGUUUGGUCACAUAAGUGGGAAAAUUGUCAACAAAUGAGAGAAAGGCUAUAUACUAGUGGCCAAAGAGCAUCUUGUUUCAUGAAUCAGUUUCUAACCUUGAGACAGUUUGCAGAUGCAGAACUCCUUGAAUGAAUGAAUGGCCAGGUUACCCUGAGUAAGUACCUUAUUAAACAUCUAAACUGUAUACUGCUAGCCUUUCUCCAGUGCUUUCCUAGUGGGACCUCAGGAGACCCAGGAUAACCAUACACUGGGGGGGGGGAGAACUAAUCAGACUUACCAGGCUCUAUUGCAUAUUGGCCCAAAUUAAUGCUGACUCCAGGAGCUCCCGGGAAACAUUAUGGUUCUUCAGUCAGAGUAGAGUGUUAUGGAGGGCCAGGGAUUAAUGAGGUUUUGGCUGAAAUCUGAAUCACAUCAGGCCCAGUGGGUUCCUGAAUUCAUCCUGUGGUUAUUUUUCCAGUCCCAGAAGGUAGAAUUGGGAUACAUGUACUUAGAGGUUGUCAGAAUGCUCACACUGGUUCCCUGACCUGUGGACUGAGGGCUAUCAUGGUUGGAAAGGGUAAGUGGAAGCCUUCAGAGUUCCCUCUGCCUAGGAAAAUAGUGAAUCAAAGACAGCAACACAUCCUUGUAGAAAUUUGAGAAAUCACUGGCACCAUCAAUUGUCAAGUCAUUCUCACAGUCAAUCUGUCUUGCUCUGCACUGGCCUCAUAGGAGAUGUAUAGGGAGAUGUGGUCAGAACAACUUUUGAUUCUGGUAACAUAUGUAUGCUUCAGAGGGCUGAAAAAAAAGCCUACCAAAUAUUCAAAUCCUUUUAAUUCAGGGGAAUUCAGGAAUCCAGUGGAUGGGGCAGGCACAGACAUUCCAUCCAAGAUGAAGGAAAGGUUCCUGACCUGGCCCCUCCUACCACCAAGAAAGGAGCACAGGGCUUAAUUGUGUCUUUGGAUUCUGCAAACAGCACAUCCCUCACUUGGAUCUGUUACUCUGGCCCAUAAGCCUUCUGAAUCAGAGAGCUGCUAACUUCCUGUGGGUCCUGGGACAGGUGAAGACUCUUCAACAGGUCCCGGCUGUGGUUCAGGCUGCUCCAACAUCUUGGACCAUAUGAUCCAGCAGACCUGAUGGUACUUGAGGCAUAAGUGACAGAGAAGGAUGUUGUUUUGAGGAUUUGGCAGGCCUCUGUGAGGGAAUCACAGAAGAGAACUUUGGGAUUUUGGAGCAAGGCUCCACCAUCAUCUGCAGACAACUCUUCCCCCUGUGAGAGACAGCUCCUGGCCUUGGUGCAACCUGAACAUUUGACAAUGGGCCACCAAGUUACCAUGUGACCUGGGCUACCUAUAAUGGGCUGGAUGUUAUCUGACCCACAAAGUCAUAAAAUAGGACACACACAGCCCUGAGCUGUUAGCGAAUAGAAGUGGUAUAAACAUAAUCAGGACUGGACAGGUCCUACGGGCACAAGGAAGUUACAUGAAGAAUUUGCCCAACUGCCUCCUGUCUCUAGUCCUGUUACAAUGUCAUCUGCAGCCAAGCACGCACCUGCAGCCUCAUGAGCUGUGCCUUAUCCUUGCAAGACUGAGGAAGAAGAGACGAGGGCCUGUCUUGCUGAUGGCUGUGCAUGUUGUGCAGGCCCCACCAGACAUGGACAGCUGCAGCAUUUCCACCCCUUGCCUGUAGAACCCAAAGAUCAAUUCCUAAACAGGUCCAUUUUCUCUGGAUCCUAAUACCCAUUUUUUCCCACUACCUUUAGUGGGUUGUGGGCUUGAAGGGAGGUUAAAGCAUUUAAGAGACCACAUUAAAGUAAGAUGAGAAAAAUAUAAGUUUACAGUGCCAUCUCUGUGGAGCUGCUGGGCAAGGCAGGAGAGGAGGUGCUGGCACUAUGGACAACUCUCGUGAGACAGCUCCUGGGGUGGGAGUUUACCAAGACUGUAGGCUGAGGCAGGAAAGGAGUCACCAUUGUGAAUAGCCUCUCCUGACAACAGUAGGCUGAGGCAGGACAGGCGAUGCCCAACCAUCGACAGCUCCUGUAGACAGGGCCUCUGCCUAAUAUUAGGAAUGAAACAGCAAGUUUUGACAGCUCCUGUCGGGGCAUAUCACUGCAGGCUGGGGCAGAAAGAAGCGAUUUGCUGCACCUUUGAUGGAAUUUGCAGCUAACAGCUUAGAGUGUACAGAAUUGAACAUUGUUUGAAAAUAAAAUGCACAUUUUACAAGUGGUGCCAAAUGUGGGGCGAUGCAGAAUGGGGGGGGGGGUUAUUUCAAGUUCCUUAGAACAAAAGGCAGGAAAAGGAGGAGUGGAUACUUUGUUUCAAAAAGCCAACAGGGUGCUUACUGAGGCUGUUCUUGGGUCCUGCCCUGUACAGUUUUUAGCAGCCAUAUUUUUUCUCCUUUUUCUCAUUUUGUGCUAUUUUGUUUAUAAGAAGUUGAAAGAUUGUUGCUUAUCCAAGGAUUGAUAGGUUUCUUGUUUAAGUAUUGGUGGGUUUUCUGGGAAGUUCAGGGGCUGGUGGUUGGGGGGGGGAUUCUUUUUCUUUGUUGUUGUUUUUCCUUUUGCUUUCUUUUUUUUUUUUUGUUUUGUUUUGUCUUUUGUUUGCUCAGGGAUUGAUAGGUCUUUUUUCCUUUUCUUUCUUUCUUUCUUUCUUUUUUUUUUUUUUUUUUCAGAUGCACUACCUUUCUCUGAACUGGCCCGAUGGGUUCAGAUAAGAAGUCCUUCCUGGCUGCAGGCAGCUUUGCUGUGGUGCCCUCUCUGUGGAGCUGCUGGGAGAGGCAGGAGAGGAGUUGCCCCCAACAUGGACAGCUCCUGUGGGGAGCUCCUGCUUCAGAAAAAAGCAAAUGAGCCACCCUGGACAGCUACUGGGAUGUCUUCAGGCUGAUGAGAGGCCUUGGUGUAGCCAUUUCCACAAGAGACACAAAUUUUGACAGUUCCUGUGAGGGCAUCUUAAAGCUGAGACAAGAAGGUGGGGCCUGGCGCUGGUUUGACCGAUUUUGCCGAGCACUGCUUAGGAACUACAUGGUGUAGUUUGGAGCCACCGGUAUUGGGAAAACUGGGAGAAGGGACUGUUUGACUAGACUGUAGGAGAAUUGUGGGAGGAAGGGUUGGGAGAAAUGUUUAAAGAGGCUGGGUUGGAAACAGGCAGGAAAAAAGGAAUGGAUACUUUGUUUCAAAAAUCAACAUUUGUGUUUUCUAAGGCUUUUCUUGGGCCAUGCCCCACAUGUAUUUCCACGUCAGUUUUCUUUUCCACUCUCCAUCAUUUGGGACUAUUAUUUAUAAAGCGGAGGAAAGAUUUGACUGAGGAACUGGAAUAAAUAUGGGAAGAAAUGGAGAACCUUGGGAUUCAAAACAUGGAGGGAAAAAGGAAAACAGGAGGGUUCCUCUCUCUCUUCUGAGAAGUAGCAGAGUUGGCUGUGCAACUGGAGAAACUAACAGAGGUAGAAGAUUGCAAAAUGUCAAACACAAGAAAAGGGAGAACCAAUAGGCUCAUUCCCAGUGACUGGAGCAGAGAGAGGGAGCUUCCCCCAGGUAGAAAGAGAGGAAGAACCUGGGUCAGAGGGCGGUCAGGUCAAAGUGGAAAGCAGGAGGAUGGUCAGAGGAGACUGCCAUGUUUCAUGGACAGGUAUAAACCCACAGCACCUUUUGAGGACAGGCUGUCCUGGGUCACAGAAUCCCAACAGCAUUCCAAGUAGUUCCACCACAGCAUAUGCUGGCUAAUGGAGAUAAUCCACCCACACGGUUAUGACAAUACAGGAUGGGGUGCUGUACACAUGAUGGACCUAAGGCAUUUCAAAGACGCAUUGAUGUCCUAUGGCAUGCCCUUGUCCUAUGUGAAACAAACUCUAAAUAUUUAGACUACUUAGAAUUGAACUAUUCCCCAAGGCUGAGGAGGAUUGGUAACAGCUGUAGCAGAGGCUGGACCUCAAUGGUAAUGGUUGCCAUGAUGGAGUGAAGCCUCCAGGAAUGUGGAAGAGCACAGAGGAGGAGGGGAAUUAACACAGCUCAGGUCCACUUGAUAGGGGCUCUGCGCUGCUGUACAGGAACAGGGCAACUUGAGGAUCCAAUCUCAGAACAGUGCUGCUGAGCAGCUUUAAGGGCUGGGAACGGAGUGGAGGAGCCAGGACGGAAGUCCACAUCACUUAGAAAAAUUAUGCAAGUGUCGGGGGAAGCCUUCACUGACUUUCUUUUUUCUUUUGCAAGGAUUAGUUUCAACUGUGCACAAAGCCAUGUCAGACCCUGAUUCCAGACAAGUGCUCUCUGAGACCUUAGCAUCUGAAAAGUCUUCACCUGUGGCCAGCAGCUCUGCACGGUUACCCUGAGGCCUCUGGCUAUUUCCCGUUCCCUGGGUGUAGCCUAGCCACGGAGGCCCACAGUCACUCAGCAGCUCGAGAUGUUGGGAGGAGGUCGGCAUGCGAGUAGACUGUGAAUGGACACUUCCUGCAUUCAGGUCGGCGGCUAGUGCUUUGGUGGCGAGGCCAAGGCUCCCAAGUCCGCACACCUGUCCGAGCGCCUGCCAGGAACCAGUGCACUUUGUUUUGUAGCCUUCUUGGGCCACCAGGGCAACUAUGGCUGUCCUCACGCUGCCACAUUACAUCAGGCAGACACCAGGUGCGGCUCACGGGAGGCCACAAACUUUGAGCCCAGACAGGGCUGGGCUGUACACUCUAUGUACAAUGCAUCCACACAAUUAACUUACAUCCGAUUGAUAAGGGUAUUAACCACCCACGUAGAUAAGAUAAACCUGUCUACAGAAAUCCAUCCCUGAAGAAAUAUUCAUAACAACCUGUGUCUACAUAAAGAUACGUGGCUAGGAUCAUUUACGUCUGCCUCCAUGUUGCUUCUCCCUUUCUGCUCCCUGUCUUCUUCCCCAAUGAGAGGCCUCAUUUGAUCUUGUGUCUGCCUUCACCUGCAUACAUGGCCAAGAUCUGCAAUGUUGGCAAUCACGAGGCCUUCUCAGAGAAGAGAGCCAGGAAGGAGAAAGGAUAUCAUGAAGACAGAGAGGUGAGUGGUGCAUUUAACUCUUUUUCUUGUUGUUGGAUUUCUGCAAGAAUGGUGGUUUGUACUUGGACAAGAGAAGGCCAAAUACAGACAGAGCUGCUAGGCCAGGUUGUGUCUCUUGUCAUAUACAUGGCUCCCUUGACUGGUGUACUCCAGUGAGGAUCGAGUGGAUCUCAAACAACUCAUGUACAGCCUGCGGGUGUGCGAUAAAAACUGUGGCCCUGAUAAGGACCUUGGAUAAUAAUCUCAUCAUUUCUUAAGGUCCUAACAUCAUGGAUUCUGCAUGAAUGAUAGGGACAGCCCAUGUUCUCCUCAAUCCAUCUGUCUAUGCAGUAGGAACGUUGCUGAUCAGACAAAAAAGCACAAGACAGGAGCAACUUUUCCAGGCCGUGUCUUUUUUUUUUUUUUUUUCUUUUUUUUUUUUCUUUUAUCUUUUUUUCGGAGCUGGGGACCGAACCCACAGGCCGUGUCUUAAAAUCUGUAAAAUGUAACAUUUUAGCAGAUUGGCAUCCCACAGGUGGGCCAUCAGCCACGGCUCUGAGACAAUCAUAUCUCUGAGGUUUAGCAUGGUUAGUAUAAUUUCCUGUCAGGAAAAAAACGCCAGGCAAACGGGGAAGUUACCUCCCUUUCACCUGGUGCUGAAGCCUCACAAGUGAUUUUCAUUGGCUCAAAGGACCACCCAAAGGAACAUCACCAGCAAGCCGAAUUCAAUCGUUUUCCUGAAAAGAAAAAGAACACGUAUUCUCAGGGAAGAGGUUAUUCCCUGGAUUUAUUAUCAUUAUCGAUUUGUUUUACCAAUCGCUCUGGCGGCCAUCUGGCUGCUUCAUUUUCUUGAGAAGAAAUACAGACUGACCUUCUCCCCCAGGUAAGCACUGGCUCGGGUCCACGCCAUUUUCAUCUAAAGGAUCUUUCCAUUUGACCGAGGCAAACUGUUUUUGUGAAUUAGGGUGCCAAAAGCAAUCUGCAGCUGACUUUUUAUCACCAUCCAAUUUUAAAAAAAUUAAAAUAAGGGCAUGGUUCACUAUAUUUCUGGGGGUACCCUUCAUAGGGUACCAUUCUCCCUUUUUAAAUUUUUUCAGUAGUGGUUUUUAAAGACAAAUGUGCUCUUUCUACCAUGCCUUGUCCUUGAGGAUUACAGGGAAUCCCUGUAAGAUGUGCGAUGUGUAACUGUGUACAAAAUUCUUGAAAAGCCUUUGAGAUAUAACCUGGACCAUUAUCAGUUUUAAUUUGUUAGGGAAGCCCCAAGACAGAAAAGCAAUGUAGUAGUGGGCACUGACCUGGUUGCUGGCUUCCCCAGUUCGUAGGGUAGCAACAAUGAACCCACUAUAGGUAUCUGUACAAACAUGAAUAUAUUGUAAAUUACCAAAUUCUGAGCAGUGUGUGGCAUCCAUUUGCCAGAUUGUAUUUGGUACCAAGCCUUUGGGAUUGACUCCCAAGUGUGGAGUUGGGAGGUGAGUCUCACAGGAAGGACAUUGUUUGACUCCCUGUCUGGCUCGUUCUCUGUAAUAUCAAACGUCAAUCUUAAUGUGUGAGCAUUUAAAUGAUGGAAAGAAUGAGCUGUCUGUGCCCGGUGAAGACUUUCAGGUAGGCCAGGGGAGGCGGUGGCUAUGAACUUAGCGGCCCCAUCUGCCACUUCCUUGCCUCGGGUCAAAGGUCCUGGCAGACCAGAAUGGGCCCUAAGGUGUCCCAAGUAACACUUCUUGGUCCAUUUUUGGAUAAGUUUUUUGACAACUUAAAAACAAAGUGGCUGUUUCCAAGACAUUGAAUGUGUCCCACAGGUUCUAACAGAGUGUGGGAUGGGCUAGGUAAGUGCUGUCCAUAUAAACAUUCAAGGAUUCCUCAGGAGAGGCAGAAAGGACUGCAGCACUGGCCUGUAGUUCAACCACUCAGGCGGAGGAGUUUUGAGUCUGGAAUUUAACUAUUUUCAUCUUUAAAGUACAGGCUGCAAUGCCGUUAGAGGAUCCAUCAGUAAACACCAGUCAAGUCUCACCUAAAGGAUCUUUACUAAUAAUUUGGGGACAUAUAAGAGCAUGUGGCUUACAAAAUUGAAUUCGCCUGUCAGGUGGACGAUGGUCGUCUAAAUCUCCUGCCUGAGGCCCAGGCAGCAGGCCCUGUGUCUGUGUCCUGUGAAAGCUGGUCCACCUGAGGUCGGGGGUGAGGCUGAAUAACUUCUUGGCUCAAUUCCAAAGUGUUUUCUAGCAUUCUCUCUUCCUAAAAUAAUGACCUCUGAUACAGAAUCACAGUAAGGUAAUAAAAUCUCCUUCCGGGAAGAAGGUAAAUGGAUCCACACCAUAGGGUUACUCUGCCAAAUAAGGCCGGCUGGUGUCACGGUCAGCUUAAAUGUGAUGAGCACCAAAGGUUGAUGAUGAUUUGUAUGAGUGACAAAUUGUUUGGCAAUGGCGUCCUCGACCUUUUGCAGUGCCAAAGGUGCUGACUGAGAAAUUGAUCUUCAGGAUUUAGGGUCAGGAUCUCCUUUGAAUACAUCAAACAAGGGUUUUAAUUCUCCAGUAGUUAAGUUUCAAAUAAGGUCGAAGCCAAUUAAUAUCACCCAACAAUUUUGGAAGUCAUUAAGAGUGUAUGAUUGAUCCCUGAGAAUGGGAGCCUUUUGAUGAAUUAUCUUUGGUCUGUUCGUUUGGAAUCCCAAGUAAGUGUAGGCUCCUGUAACUGAACCUUUCCUGGAGCUAUUGGAAACCAUGAAGCUGCAGGCCUUUUGUCAGCUGGGUAAGGCAUUGUAAACCCUGUCCACCUUCGUGUUCUGCUAUUAAUAUAUCAUCCAUGUAAUGGACAAUAUGCAUGCUUAUCCAAGAACCUCUGAUUGUUUGUAUGGCCUUAGCAAGGUAUUUUUUGGCAUAGGGUGGGACUAUUGGCCAUUCCUUGAGGCAAGACUCUCCAUUGCUAGCGCCUUGUAGGUUCUUUAAAAUCUAUAAAUGGUAGACUAAAGGCAAACCUUUUCUGAUAUCACAUCAGGAUAUAAAGGAAUUGUAAAAAAGCAAUCUUUCAAAUCAAUUAUUACCUUAAAAUAACCUAGAGGUACUACAGGAGAAGGCAGUCCAGGUUGGAGGGCACCCAUGAGUACCAUGGUAGCAUUCACAGCUCUUGAAUCUUGUAACAGCCUCCAUUUGCCAGACUUUUUCUUAAUAACAAAGAUAGGAGUAUUCCAUGGAGAGUUACUCUCUUGAAUAUGUCCUGCUUCCAAUUGUUCCUGCACUGAUAAUUGUGCUAAUUGUAGUUUUUCAGCUGUUAAAGACCAUUGAUCGACCCACAUGGGCUCAUCAGACUUCCAGAUAAUUGGAUCAGCAUACUCUUGGGGUGCAGGCAGGUCAAUGGCCGAAAUAAAAAAUUUCCCAAUCCAUUUUCAUCCUUCUGGCCUGUGGCUGAGAUAGGUUGUAGGGCCGUUUUCUCGCUCUCCCAAUUCUUUACUGGUGCUGUGUCCCUGGGCCAACAUCUGAGCAGCAAUCUCCUCAUUAGGAAAGGAAGACCCUCCCCCAUGAAUUCACAGGCAAAUGAGGAAUUACAAAAGGAUUAAUGAGGCCUGAAUUAUUUUCCUUAUCUCUCCAAGUAAGGUAUUUUGAACUUUUCUCAGGUUCAUACUCUGAUCAAUCCCUCUCAAGUUAGUUAAUGUCUCUACAGUAGGCCAAUGGGAGGGCCAAUCUCCUUGUUUAAUAACAGUCACAUCGGCUCCCAUAUCAAUUAAUCCUGUAAAUAACUUUCCAUCUAGCCAGAGUCUGAGGGAAGGUUUCUGAGCAGUCAUCUCCUGUACCCAGUAAAUAUUUGAUGAUCCAAAACCCCCAUCUCCUCUUUUGGGAUGUUGUAUUUUAUUGUCAGUUUUCAUUAGGGGAAGCAAUAUUAACUGAGCUAUCCUCUCACCCUGGGGAACGGUUAUAAUACUGUCUACUGCUUUGGCCGUGACUUUUAUUUCCCCUGUAUAAUCAUUGUCUAUGGCUCCGGGAUAAAUCUGCAGCCCUUUCAUGGUCACGCUGCUUCUUCCUAUAAUCAAUACAAACGUUUGAGAUGGCAGCGGACCAUAGAUUCCAGUAUUGAGAGCCUGAGCCACCAUCUCAGGGGUCAAUACUGUGUGGGAGGGGGAACAGAGGUCCAGUCCCGCACUCCUGGGGUUGAUUUACUAAGUUUUGAAAUGGAUUUUUGAAGUUGGCUGGAACAAAGCUGACUGCCCCACAGACUUGUUUCGGGGCCCAGGGCUGGCCCCUCCCUCUGUUUCCCUGAUGAUGUAUUGUGUUCCCUUCAGCCUCCCUCUUUGAUCUGCAGAAAUUUGCCCAAUGUUUUCCCCAUUUGCAUAUUGGACAGAGGCCAGGAGCAGGGAGAUCAGAUUGUUUCCUAAUUGGACCUCCGGAACAAUCCUUAGCAUAAUGUCCUGCCUUACCACAUUUAAAACACCCCCGUUUAUUUUCGUCUCUGUUGGUGAUGAAUUCUUUAACAGUCUGUCCACCAAAGGCUGCAGCCAUAGCAAGACCCUGUUGAUAUGAGGGUCCGAUGUCUGAACAGAGGCGGAUGUAACCUGUCAAAUCAGUCUUCUUUCUAUAGCAUCUGAUAGCCGCCUGGCAGGCUGGAUUGGCGUUUCCAUAGGCCAAUUGUUUCACAGGAUCAACACCUGCCUCUGUACAUCCAAACACACGACCUGCAGGAGUCCUGAGCCUGUGUACAAAGUCUGCAAAAGGCUCAUCUGGUCCCUGUUUCGCCCCAGUAAGUGAAGCUCCUGGAUUCCCUUUAACAGGGAGUUUUCUCCAGGCCCCAGUGUCUGCCGCUUGAACUUGAGCGACAGCCCAGGACCACAUUGCAUCUGAGAAUCAUUAAUAUCAUAAUUGCCUGAUCCAGUCAGCUCGUCAAAGGUCCAUCCAUCACCUGCCUGAGCAUUCUUCUUGACAGUCUCUUUACAAUGUUCAAAACAUUCUGACUUCCAGAGAAGAUGGUCGCCUCCUGUCAGUAUGGCAUGGACUAGUGUAUUCCAGUCCCAGGAGUGAGCCAGUUUUCGGCCACUGAUUCUAAAAUGGCCAGAGUGUAAGGAGCAGAAGCACCAUAUUGGGCCACAGCAGCUUUUAAUUCUUUGAUAAUUCUCAAGUCAAAUCCCUGGUGAUGUCUCCAAGGCUGUCCCUGAGCAUCUACACUUUCUGUAACCGGGAAGGCUUCUAAGACAUCUGUGCUUUCAUUUUCAUGGUUAGGAUUCACACGCAUCUUGCCUUUUGGUAUGGAUGGUCCAGGCUGCUGUGGAGGGCGAGUUGUUUCUGCUUUUAAGCUUGUAUCUGUCACAGGCUCAUCCCGUUUUUAAUUUUUGUAGCUUGUUAAUCACAGACUGAUAAAGUUCCUCUAGCUUUAUUUGUUGCUCAAGAUAAGUGAUUUUUGAUUUCAACUCUUGCUUGGGGUCAACAACCGCCAUUACAGUAGGCGCAGAGGCCCGAUUAUAAGGAGGUGGCAGAGAUAAUGGCAGAAGCCAAUUGGGGUUGUGGUAUUUGGCUUCCUCAUCUUCUAAGGAUUCCCAAUUCACUUUUGCUGAUUUUGGGUCAUUUUCAUUGUCAAGGUCAGAGAGAUCUUUAAGAGGAGGACAUUUUUUAGGUCUCACAUCUGGCUUGAGUCUAAUAUCAGAUUUUUCUCUUUCAUCAUCUUUUUUGUGAACCUUUUUUCUGUCCUCAGGCACCCCGUGUCCCCCUUGUGCACCCUCAUCCUCACUUUCUAGGGAAAUUAGGUAGAUUUGCUCUUCUCCCUGUGUUUUGACCUUAUUGGUCUUGAAGGAAUCUUUCAGAAUCUCCUCAGUUUGUGAUAUCACAGCUAUUACUGUCGGGCAAGCCUCCUUUUUAUCUAUUAAUUCUUUAAUUAGAUUCCAAUAAGAGAAAGCAGUCACAGGAACCUUUUCAGGCCCCAGAGUGUUAUAGAAAUCUUUAAGAGCAUCUCCUACUCUAUUCCAACUUAUAAUAUCGAUAGUUCCCUCUUAAGGAAACCAAGAGCAAAGAUCCUUAACAAAAUCAAAAUAUUUAAAUAAAUCAUUGGUUUUUACCUUUCUCCUCACAGGUUUAAUGUCCCUUUUAACUGUCUCCCAUAGACCUCGUGUUGGCUUAAUGCUUGUCCCAUAAUCAGACUCUAUCACUCACCUUCAUUUCGGCUGCAGCAGGCUCCCAUGGCAUGCGAUGGUAUUUCUACAUACAGUGCUGGCCACCUGAGUCUUCUUCCUCACGGAGCCCCCUCUACUAUCCAGGCACCAGACGUUGGGCACCAAGCGUCCUAGCCCACGGGAACGUCAACGGAGACCUUGGAGAGGGGAGUGGGAAAGGAUGGGACAAGAGGCAUGAGAAAUGGAGACAAGAAAUAUUCUGAGCAAGUCUCAGGUAAUCAAGCAAAAACCACUUGUUUAUAGGCAGAAAAAAAUCACACAACAGAAACUGGUAGUCAGGGUAACGAUAAACAAACGUCACAUCAGAAACCAACGGAAUAAGUUUUGAUUUCCCAGAAACUUCUUACCUACAAUAAAUUUCAAUAUCCUGAAAUCUCUGACUAAUAAUAGAGUGAAACUCACUCUUGUGUAGAAGCAAGCUAGCAGAAGUCUCCAGUAUUCUUGGCCGGUGGUAACCCCCAUGUAUGCUACUUGGAAACCAGGGUGCAUGAAGUAGAAAACACCUAGCUCAGGCAAAGAAAGGCAUAAGCAGGCCGGGUGGCCCCAGACAAGGUGGCAGAGCCAAGGCUGAGUCCAUCAAAGAUAAAAACUGACUGAGCACAUCAGGGCACAGCCCUGUUCACACUCAGCUCCCACCGCCUCAUCCUGUCCCACCAGAUACACACAGCUUAGUGACACAGAUUCUGGAAACUUCUCCAUCUGCCAUUUAUUUAAAAAAAAAAAACAAAAACAAAAACAAAAAAACAAACAAAAAAACCCAACAAAUCCAAAACAAAGAACUUCUAAGUAUUCCAUCCAGUAAUUAAAAAGCCAUCCAGUCUUGGGUCAAGGAUGUGAACAAUCAAGUUCACACUCAGAUUCUUAUUCUCAGUGUGGAAUGAGGGGCUGAAGCUCAGGGCAGCAGGGAGGGACAGGAUGCAGAUGUCCCCA